UAACGCGUGGGAAUCUGCGCUGGAGUGGGGGAUAACCCGGCGAAAGCCGGGCUAAUACCGGAUACGCCCUUCGGGGGAAAGAUUUAUCGCUGAUAGAUGAGCCCGCGUACGAUUAGCUAGUUGGUGAGGUAAUGGCCUACCAAGGCUACGAUCGUUAGCUGGUCUGAGAGGAUGAUCGGCCACACUGGGACUGGGACACGGCCCAGACUCCUACGGGAGGCAGCAGUGGGGAAUAUUGGACAAUGGGCGAAAGCCUGGUCCAGCAAUGCCGCGUGAGUGAGGAAGGCCUUAGGGUUGU
RNAcentral lists this ribosomal RNA (298 nucleotides) under uncultured Sphingomonadaceae bacterium. RNAcentral describes it as "partial 16S ribosomal RNA". It matches the Rfam family "Bacterial small subunit ribosomal RNA", at positions 111 to 426 of the family's 1533-position model. The record is from RNAcentral. Lineage: Bacteria; Pseudomonadati; Pseudomonadota; Alphaproteobacteria; Sphingomonadales; Sphingomonadaceae.